This is a long non-coding RNA of Acinonyx jubatus (cheetah), 5497 nucleotides long. RefSeq lists it as uncharacterized. The record is from RefSeq and is a predicted model, not a curated record. Lineage: Eukaryota; Metazoa; Chordata; Mammalia; Carnivora; Felidae. The transcript has 6 exons.
CACAGAACUCAAGGAAACAUUUUCUCGUACUUACUAGAUAGUAACUCAGGAACACACCACAUGGAAGAAAUGCGCAGGUCAAGUUACGUGUGAAGGGGUGCAGAGCCUCCAGCCUCUCUGAGUCAUCGCCCUCCCCAUAUCGCCAUAUGUUCACCAUGGAAGCUGUCAACCCCGUUCUUUUGGAUUUUUCAAGAGGUUUCUUUACAUAGGCAUGAUUGAUCAAAGCACUGGCCAUUGGCAGUUGGUUCAACCUCCAAUCCCUCUCCCCUCCCCAGAGGUCUGGGGUGGGACUGAAAGUUCUAACCCUCUAAACACUUGACUGACUCCACUGGCAACCAGCCCUUGUCCUUAAGUCAUCCCACUAACAUAACAAAAGACAUCUUUAUCACUCUAAUCCUUAGGAGAUUCCAAGGGCUUUGUGAUCUGUGAGCCAGGAAGUUCGGGUGAAGAACAAAUAUAGACGUGAAAUAUAUUCUCCUCAUCUGAAUGACCAAAUACAUAUUUUUUCUUAGAAGUCGUAAUAUCACAAUAUGAGUUAAAGCUGUUGCAGGAUACAAAUGAGAUUUGCUCCCAAUUACUUAAUUCUCCUCUGCCCAACCAUUUCCAAGGAAACUGAAUAUAUGUGUUAAUCUGUAAUCAUGGAACAUUACCAGUUCUAUUCAAAUUUUAAUGCACACCCACCAAAUUUUCACCGUUUGAGAUGACUCAUUUUCUCUAUACUUUCCUGCUGAGGUUGUAUAAUUAAGACAAUAAUAAAUCAUCCUAAUUAAAUGUUGGAAACUUAGCACAAUCCAGGCAGGUGUGUGUAAGACCCUUUCAUGUUCUAACUUCAGAAACAGAGGGAUAUAGCUCUUCCCUGAUCGGGGUCAAAAAUGUAUGGCUCCUACAUGCACUUGGGUGAUGAGCAAACAGCAUUCAACUAGUAGUACCACAAAUCAAAUUCAGCUUCUAACUAGCUGUGUUCUAGAACCCCAAGAAAUUCAUUUGGCCUCUCCAGGAUCUAUGAUCUCAUAGGUCAAUGGGGGGCUGUUAUCAUGGCGCCCAUCUGUCUUCAUAACCUAAGGAAAACUAUGGAAUAUCAUGAGAAACAUGCUCAUAGCCAUAAAGUUUGCUAGUCAGUUUUAGGGAUUCAUGUGUCUAAGACUGUCUGCACCAGAAGAUAAAAUUCCUUCUUCCUCUUGCAUUCUAUGAUGUUAAGACUUAGUAGCUGAUAAUGAGGAAGACUUCGUUCAUCUUCUUAGUCUAUUCACAGGGCUAGUGGCUGAGGAUGAGGAAUGGCAAAUGGCUUGUAUAGCUAUCUUGUAUCCAUGGCAACUUUGAAUACUCUCAACCAGUCUGUGAAAAGAAUACUUAAGAUAUCUACAAGAGAUGAAAAUGUGGUUAUUACUGGUUCAGUGAAUUUAAUUAGUUUGACUACCUUUUGCACAAUAUGAAAUUUUUCUGGAGCCUACAAUGAAAUAAUUGAGAAGAAAGUCCUUUGGAAGCUAGAAAGUGCUAUCUAUACUACUCCUUCUUAAUUUUUAUAACAUAGAUUUAUAUACUAUAAAGAGCAAAAAAAAAAAAUCAAUGGCAAUAUGCUUACAUCCCCAGUUUUGACCAAACUCAUUAACUAACCUGCUGGGUCUAUAGAAGAACAAUCUGGUAUAGCUAAAAGUUUAUCAACCUAAAUAAAGAGGUAAACUGAGGCAAGCUCAAAUUACCAGAAAUUGAGUUUAUUUGGGAACAGCAGAGGAACUGCAAUUCCAUAAAUGCGUGACGUUGCAGGCUACAGGCGAGUCUGCUGAGGGUUUGGAGCAGGCUGUAUUUAUAGGCAAGUUGUGCAAAGAGGGGGAUGUCCAGCCAGAGUCCAAGCAGUGAGUUCCAUGGCUUGCGAAUGGGAAAAGAUUCUUGGCAGUUGCUCAUUGGUCAGGGGAUAAGUCUUGGUCUUCUGUACAUCAGACAUUUCUGAGAAAUCAGUCUCUAGGUUCUUAAGUUCUGUUCUUCCAGGAGGUGCGCGUGCGACAUUCUCCGUUUCAUAUAAUCAGGUUCCACUUUAGAUUGAAGUCCUUUUACAAGUUACCAGGAAUUUUUGAAGAAAUCAAAUAUUGGCACAAUAUGAUCUGUCUACCUUUUCCCUGUCUUACUUACCUUCUUUACUUACCUUCCUUACCUUCAACUUACCUUCCUUAAACAUCUCUUGACCGCCCAACAUGUCAGACACCGACCUGAGAGCUAGGUACAGAGCAGGUGUCCUUUAAUUCCAUAGUUAGCCUGAGUUAACCUAUAGAUUUGCUGUCAAAAGGUCUAACCUGGGCAGUUGCAUCUAGUUCACCCUGUAGGUACACCGUGCAGCCCAUUCUACAAACAUUGACCAGGUGCCUGCUUCCUGCCAGCUACUGUAUCACAUGCAUGUGGACUUUGUCUUCAAGCAGUUCAUGUUGUUUUGGAGGGAGCCUGACACGCAAGCUAACAAUCACGAUAAGAUACAGCGACCACAUGUCCCAUCUGUAAAGGAGUCAGACUUGAAACCCUUCUCGUGUGAAAAUCUGGAAGCUGCAAACAGCCCAUUUUACACCUGAGUACCCCACCCAUAGGUUGCUGAGGCAACUCUGCUGCUUACAUGUGGAGAAAAAACUGACUCAGAGCUUGAACGGUUUGAAGUGUGCGAGAACCAUGAGAUACAGGUGAAUAUUCAGGAGGGAGCCCAUGGCCUGGAGAGGACGCUGGUGACCAGGGAAGAGCAGAAGAGUGAAAUCUGCUGCCAUUUGCCAUGGCAGACUGCCAUGGGCACAGUGGCUAACUCUGCAGGAGUAAUCUGACUUCAAACAACGGAAAAGUCAGUGCUGGGCGUUCUUGGUUCCAGUGGGAAAUAGUUUUAAUAAGGUUCUGGGACAUCUCCUAGAGAAAGGAAAUGUCCAGUGAUUACUCAGAACUAUGUUAAUUGUGGAUGUAUCAAAGAUUACUGAACGCCCUUUGCAAUAUUUUCCUGAGGCAGAUGGAGAAUAAACACCUUCAUUACGGGUGCUCAGAUGAUCCACUGUGCUGAAUUACAUUGAGAAGCACCUGGUACGUUUCUUGAUCUACCCGUGCACUCACGUACCCUGCUGUAACGUCAGGAUUGCCCUAAGUGGGUACCUAUCUCCUACGAAAUACCAAGUGCGUUUUCCACAGCCUUUCAGAACCUCUGAUAGUGCUACCCAAACAAAUCCUGGAGUAACGAGGCAGUUCUAAUGUAAAUGUUUAAUAGAGGCAAGGGAUUCUCAUCUGAUUACUUUGCUGCUGCAGAGAAAGAGGAUCUAAUUUAACAUUAAGUCUGUAAUUAGUGAAUAGUGCUCUUUUGCCUGGGUAAACGAAAUCCCUUGCAUUUUGAUAAUGACUUGCAUUCAGAAUUGAAAUUAAACUAAGCUAAAAAAAAUCAUAACUUUACCUUAGGGUAGCACACUAAGUCAAUGCCAUAUAGACUGUUUACAAAAGUAAAUCUAAAGCACAAUGUUCUGGAGUUGACUUUACUAGGGAAGCUGCAACCUUUAUCUAUUUUUAUUUGUUUACAUUGGGAUCUCGUAUUCCUUCUGCCUUAUUUGUUUAUUUACUUACUUAUUUUUGGUUGCUGAUUUCUUUAAGUGACCCUGUGGAAAAUGUGGGUAGAUACUACAGUCAUGUAUUUUAUUAUCUUAAGAGAACAGUGCUGUAAAUAAUACAAAUAGGCAUUGAUAUUCAUAUUCACGUGGGCUCCUUCAUGUGGAACAAAAAGGCCCUCCAUCUUUUACUUUUCAAGUAGAAGUCGUUUGGCCAGAUUAGUGUCUGCAAGUUCCUGGGCAUUUAUUCCCUGGUGUUGCUGUAAGGUUUUUACUGAUGACCAGAGUUGCUCAAUCCUCAUUUAAUGGGGGCUGCAGACUGAGGGCUGAGCAGAACCCGCUGUCCCGUUCUGUAGUUACUGGUAAAGACAGACCUAGGGUAUCACCAUGGGAGGGACUGGAUGCGACCCAGUGGGUGGGUGUGGUCGCCGUGGACGGAAGAUCAAAAGGCUGAGAGACCAGGGGGUUAUAAAUGGAAAUUUCCGAGAAUUAAGUCAGGAGAGAAUCUCAAUCCUAAGGGAGGAUGAUAGUGAUGUAGGAACUAGAGACACUGAGAUGUGUAGGGUAAAGAAGGGUCCAGCAGUGACAGCAACAAUGAAGAGUUACAAGUGUUAUCCUCUUAUGACAUGAUCUUCAAAGCUGGCAGGUUUCGGAGAAAAGAGAAGGAGAAUGGUCUAAAAGUGGAAAGGAGGAAGAAGAAAGGGCUAUGAGGUCUACAGGAGAAGAGCCCUUUUCCACUUGUAAUCUCUGCUGGAAGAGGAGGUGUGUGUCGUUUGUCUCGACCCUUAUGGAUGGAAGAGAAACUUCGGGGGAAGCCUGACAUAUUCCAUACAACCAGACCUUUGCAGUCCUGAUGACACGGAUAGAAGUCUUAUGUAGGCAAGGCCUUGUUCCAGUGCUCUGGUCCAUUUAACACUGGGAUAUUACACUCUAGUGCCAGAAUGGUCCAGAAUUUGAGUUUUUUGUUUUUCAUUGUUUUUUUUUUUUUUUAAUUUGCAGGGACAUAAAAUAUUUAAUGGAUGAAGAAUCUAAGAAAACUUCAAGUUCAACUCCUCAGUUUCACAAGACAGAAAACUGAGGCUGAGGAGGUUUGAGAGCCUCUGCUGAGUUUUUUUCUAACGAUAAUGAGGAUUAUAACUCCGAUACUCUGACAUCUAAGUACCAACCACACUGUGCUGACGCUUAGAUGUUCAGAGUUUUAAUUAGAAAACAAAACAAAACAAAUCUUUCCCGCUCAGAAAAUAUACAGAUUCUUUACUGCUCAAAUUAAAAGUUUUCUUUUAAAACUUGUGUCUUGAGAACAGGAAUAAAGAGUUUGCUGUGAUUCAAGAAUUUUUUCACAACAUAGGAAAAGCCAUUCAUCCCAUGGACAACAUUAGCAUGUGUCUAAGAGGAUAUUCUUCCAAGGCACAGAGGCUGAGAGCAGAGUGUGAAGUUGAGGUUUCUAUGGAGACUGUACCUUAACAAGGUCUUUUAAAUUGCUGAGGGUAAAAGUAAAACCUCUCUUUCAAUAUCCCUGGAGGUAUAAAACACAUUAGGCAGUCAGGACUCCUGCAUUUUACAUCUGUCUCUUCAGUCGAUGGUUUUUGAACUCUCCUUUGAGGACCUCUUUCUUGGGUGACUUGGAGCUGUAGACCAUCUAUUCAGAACAAUGGAUAGCCCUUAACUGGCAUACUAUUAUACACCUGAUGCAUCGGGAUGGUUAUAUGGUUAAUGCUUUCAUGUUAGGAUGUUACAAUGCUUUCUUUGAAGAUACUGUAGUUUAAACUUAUCUGCUCCUUUGCGGGAGGGAUGCAAACAUAUGGCGGUAAAGAGGGAUAUAGGUUAUUCAAGAAUAUAAGGAUUAUAAAGAAUCAGGUGGAAAUAUUUAUGUAUGCUACACUUUAUUUUUUGUUGUUUUUUUAAAAAAUGUUUAUCUGAGAGAGAGAGAGAGAGAGAGAGAG